CGUUAAGGCGGUUGGCAAAGUUGGUUGUGAAAUCUCAGGGCUCAACCCUGAAAUUGCGACCAAUACUGGUCGACUAGAGUGCAAGAGAGGAAGGUGGAAUUCCCGGUGUAGUAGUGAAAUGCGUAGAUAUCGGGAGGAACACCAGUGGCGAAGGCGGCCUUCUGGCUUGUAACUGACGCUGUAGCGCGAAAGCGUGGGGAGCGAACCGGAUUAGAUACCCGGGUAGUCCACGCCCUAAACGUUGUGUACUAGGUGUUGGGCGUAUUGACGCGCUCAGUGCCGUAGCUAACGCAUUAAGUACACCGCCUGGGGAGUACGGUCGCAAGAUUAAA
This 332-nucleotide ribosomal RNA is filed under the name uncultured bacterium. Its description in RNAcentral is "bacterial SSU rRNA". It matches the Rfam family "Bacterial small subunit ribosomal RNA", at positions 568 to 898 of the family's 1533-position model. The record is from RNAcentral.